Molecule: long non-coding RNA, 1038 nt
Filed under: Manacus vitellinus (golden-collared manakin)
Lineage: Eukaryota; Metazoa; Chordata; Aves; Passeriformes; Pipridae
Description: lncRNA (ENSMVIG00005001789.1)
Source: RNAcentral
GGGUGACGGUCCUCUGCCAUCUCCCAGCUGGGAAGAGGAUGGGAAAUGGGGUGGGGAAGGGGCUGGGAAAGGGAUGGGAAAGAGGUUGAGGAAGGGGUCAGGAAAGGGGUCAGGGAAGGGGAUGGGGAAGGGAUGGAGGAAGGGGAUGGGGAAGGGGUCAGGGAAAGGAUUGAGGAAGGGGAUGGGAUCGAGGAAGGGGUCAGGGAAGGGGUCAGGGAAGGGGAUGGAGGAAGGGGAAGGGGUCGAGGAAGGGAUCGAGGAAGGGGAUGGGGAAGGGGUCAGGGAAAGGAUUGAGGAAUGGGAUGAGAUCGAGGAAGGGGUCAGGGAAGGGGUCAGGGAAGGGGAUGGAGGAAGGGGAAGGGGUCGAGGAAGGGAUCGAGGAAGGGGAUGGGGAAGGGGUCAGGGAAAGGAUUGAGGAAGGGGAUGAGAUCGAGGAAGGGGUCAGGGAAGGGGUCGAGGAAAGGGAUGGGGAAGGGAUGGAGGAAGGGGUCGAAGAAGAGGUCAGGGAAGGGGUCGAGAAAGGGGAUGGAGAAGGGGUCGAGAAAAAGGAUGGGGAAGGGGUCGAGGAAGGGGUCAGGGAAGGGGAUGGCGACGAGUCCCCUCUGCCAUCUUCCAGCUGGAAAGGGGAUGGGAAAUGGGGUGGGGAAGGGGUUGGGGACGGGAUCGAGGAAGGGGAUGGGGAAGGGAUCGAGGAAGGGGUCAGGGAAGGGGAUGGGGAAGGGGUCAGGGAAGGGGAUGGCGACGAGUCCCCUCUGCCAUCUUCCAGCUGGAAAGGGGAUGGGAAAGGGGCUGGGGACGGGAUCGAGGAAGGGGUCAGGGAAGGGGAUGGGGAAGGGGUCAUGGAAGGGGAUGGGGUCAGGGAAGGGGAUGGCGACGAGUCCCCUCUGCCAUCUUCCAGCUGGAAAGGGGAUGGGAAACGGGGUGGGGAAGGGGCUGGGGAAGGGGUUGAGGAAGGGGAUGGGGAAGGGGUCGAGGAAGGGGAUGGGGAAGGGGUCAGUGAAGGGGAUGGGAAAUGGGGUGGGGAAGGGGCUGGGGAAG